AGGCCGUACCAUAUCCUGUGUGUUGCUGAGCUGCUAUCAAGAUUCCACAAGCUAAGCAAGGUUAAGUGAGUCAAGUACUUGGAUGGAAGACCUCCUUGGAAGACUUAGGUGCUGCAUG
This 118-nucleotide ribosomal RNA is filed under the name Chrysemys picta bellii (western painted turtle). The record is from RNAcentral. Lineage: Eukaryota; Metazoa; Chordata; Testudines; Emydidae.